This 347-nucleotide unclassified non-coding RNA is filed under the name soil metagenome. Its description in RNAcentral is "partial contains 5.8S ribosomal RNA, internal transcribed spacer 2, and large subunit ribosomal RNA". The stretch from base 1 to 120 matches the Rfam family "5.8S ribosomal RNA", at positions 35 to 154 of the family's 154-position model. The record is from RNAcentral.
GAUGAAGAACGUAGCGAAAUGCGAUAAAUAAUGUGAAUUGCAGAAUUCAGUGAAUCAUCGAGUCUUUGAACGCACAUUGCGCCCCCUGGUAUUCCGGGGGGCAUGCCUGUCCGAGCGUCAUUGCUGCCCUCAAGCACGGCUUGUGUGUUGGGCCCCCGUCCCCCCCUCCCGGGGGACGGGCCCGAAAGGCAGCGGCGGCACCGCGUCCGGUCCUCGAGCGUAUGGGGCUUUGUCACCCGCUCUGUAGGCCCGGCCGGCGCCUGCCGACCACCAUCAAUCUUUUUUCAGGUUGACCUCGGAUCAGGUAGGGAUUCCCGCUGAACUUAAGCAUAUCAAUAAGCGGAGGA